Molecule: ribosomal RNA, 379 nt
Filed under: uncultured Microcystis sp.
Lineage: Bacteria; Bacillati; Cyanobacteriota; Cyanophyceae; Chroococcales; Microcystaceae
Description: bacterial SSU rRNA
Rfam family: Bacterial small subunit ribosomal RNA
Source: RNAcentral
AAAGGUGAAACCUAAUUGGCCUGAAGAAGAGCUUGCGUCUGAUUAGCUAGUUGGUGGGGUAAAGGCCUACCAAGGCGACGAUCAGUAGCUGGUCUGAGAGGAUGAGCAGCCACACUGGGACUGAGACACGGCCCAGACCCCUACGGGAGGCAGCAGUGGGGAAUUUUCCGCAAUGGGCGAAAGCCUGACGGAGCAACGCCGCGUGAGGGAGGAAGGUCUUUGGAUUGUAAACCUCUUUUCUCAAGGAAGAAGUUCUGACGGUACUUGAGGAAUCAGCCUCGGCUAACUCCGUGCCAGCAGCCGCGGUAAUACGGGGGAGGCAAGCGUUAUCCGGAAUUAUUGGGCGUAAAGCGUCCGCAGGUGGUCAGCCAAGUCUGCC